UCUAUGCAAUGGGUAAUUUUAGGUUUUUGAAGCUAGUAACAGAAGUUAUGAUUGCAGGCAUUUAGAAGGCUUUACGAGGAAGUGGGACUUGGAUGGGUUUCUGCUGUUACUAAAUACGAACCUGUAGGUACCAUAGCAAAUGCAGUAUAUGGUGUAUGGGCCAAAUACCGCAUGGAAGUUACAGGUCGACCUCCAUUGGAGGAGAUUUUUGCAGCUCGAAGACAAGCGGUUAUUCGGCUUUAUCUCUUCUUCUGCAACUUCCAGUAGCGGGCAAGACUUUUUUUUUUGGAAGGGAGGCAAAAGUAUUUUUCCUCCAUUAAUUAAUUAAGGAUAAUAGUUCAGACAAAUACAAAAACCAAAAAAGAGCACAUGGUAACUACUCUCUCAAUAUUAAAACACUUGAAUGUUUCGCGCCCGUGGUGACCCAAAUCUUUGCUUCAUGUUUGAUUGUCUUUAGUAGAAUCGUCGUUGGGGCGGAUUUAUUAUGGAAGACUCGCGUUUCUUUUGUUCCAAAUUGUCCAACUAGUGAGCAUUGUGAGGGUUGCCAUGGCCUUGCGGUUGGGGGUGUUUUUUUCUUGACAUACUGGCACACCAAGUGUCAAUGGAGAUCUCCACCGACCAAUCGUUGGUGUUAAAAUAGUCCAUACCAAUCCACUCUUUGAUCAUCCCACUAACUUGAGUUUGUUGACUGUUUUUUUCCUUUGCUAGGGUGAAUGUAAAGAUGAUAAAGCAUGCAAGAUGUGAACAGCAAAGUGCUAGUCUUCGCCACUCUGCACAUUUUCACUUCUACAUAGUGUAUGUUUAAGAUAGGUGCAUAAUAUACAUAGCUAGUCUUAACUCCAACUGGUUUCGAGAUUGAUGAUAUGAUGCUGUUCGGUGUCGGAGAGUAGUAAAUAAUCCAUGACCUGUACACUCUUUCCAUACGAAAGACAAGCAGCUUAGGAUUCCCCGUGAACGGAAAGAUUACCCCAUGGAAGGAUGAUAAGGAACCAACGAGCUCUAUAUGUUAUCUUGAACGGUUGAACCUCUCGUUUGCUGGUCUUCUCACCUCCCCAAACUCCCAGUUUCUCUAGCGCAUUUCGAAUCAGCCGGCAGCCGCUGCCAGUGUUGUCCACGCGAUGGAGAAAGGAUGAAGACCUACCGACAGCGGGUGAU
Long non-coding RNA from Lolium perenne, 1155 nucleotides. RefSeq lists it as uncharacterized. NCBI's taxonomy places the organism in Eukaryota, Viridiplantae, Streptophyta, Magnoliopsida, Poales, Poaceae. The record is from RefSeq and is a predicted model, not a curated record.